RNAcentral lists this ribosomal RNA (748 nucleotides) under uncultured Gemmatimonadota bacterium. RNAcentral describes it as "bacterial SSU rRNA". It matches the Rfam family "Bacterial small subunit ribosomal RNA", at positions 1 to 758 of the family's 1533-position model. Lineage: Bacteria; Pseudomonadati; Gemmatimonadota. The record is from RNAcentral.
AGGGGUUUGGGAUCAUGGCUCAAGACGAACGCUGGCGGCGUGCUUAACACAUGCAAGUCGAACGAACGGAGGAGAGCUUGCUCUCCAAUGUUAGUGGCGGACGGGUGCGUAACACGUGAGCAAUCUGCCCACAGGCGGGGGAUAGCCGGCCCAACGGCCGGGUAAUACCGCGUAAAGCAUCGAUGUCGCAUGGCAUUGAUGUGAAAGGGACUUCGGUCUCGCCUGUGGAGGAGCUCGCGGCGUAUCAGCUUGUUGGUGGGGUAAUGGCCUACCAAGGCUACGACGCGUAGCUGGUCUGAGAGGACGAUCAGCCACAUUGGGACUGAGAUACGGCCCAGACUCCUACGGGAGGCAGCAGUGGGGAAUAUUGCGCAAUGGCCGAAAGGCUGACGCAGCGACGCCGUGUGUGGGAUGAAGGCUUUCGGGUUGUAAACCACUGUCAGGAGGGACGAAACAAAUGACGGUACCUCCAGAGGAAGCGCCGGCUAACUCCGUGCCAGCAGCCGCGGUAACACGGAGGGCGCGAGCGUUGUUCGGAAUCACUGGGCGUAAAGCGCGCGUAGCNGUUGGAUAAGUCGCUUGUGAAAGCCCGGGGCUCAACUCCGGGAGGCCAGGCGAGACUGUUCGACUAGAGCACGGUAGAGGCAAGUGGAAUUCCCGGUGUAGCGGUGGAAUGCGNUAGAUAUCNGGGAAGAACACCAGUGGCGAAGGCGGCUUGCUGGGCCGUUGCUGACGCUGAGGUGCGAAA